Long non-coding RNA from Felis catus (domestic cat), 1310 nucleotides. RefSeq lists it as uncharacterized. The record is from RefSeq and is a predicted model, not a curated record. The transcript has 4 exons. Lineage: Eukaryota; Metazoa; Chordata; Mammalia; Carnivora; Felidae.
GAAGGGGCGCCGGGGCCCUUGCGGAGGCCGGCGAGGCCAGGGGUCAGCUGCUCACCCUCCCCCACCCCGGCCUCCAAGUCGGCCAGUAGUGAGAAGGGUCGUGGCGGCCAGAGGCUGCCCCCCAGUGCCGCUAGGGGAACCCGGAGACGCGCGGCCUCACCCCCCCCCCAUCCGGCAACCCCCUCCCCCGACGCCCUGCGACAGAGGCGGCCUCCCGGCUUCACCCUGGGACCCGCGCUCUGCUGAGCCACCCGCCGCCGGCCUCCCGGGUCCCUCUCUGUCCCUCCUUUGCAGGUGGCGGGACGAUCCCCAGGGAAGAAGGAGAGAGAUUCGGCCCCUCCGGAAGGCAGCAGCCCCAGCUGUGGCCCCAGGACUUGCAGUGGGGACGGGGCACCUCCUCAUCUCCUCCCCGGCCCCCUCUUUUGGGGUCUGGGCCCCCACUGUAUUCACUGUGGGUGAAGGCCACGCAGGGAGACACGUGUCUCGGAUCCGUCCUGUCAAUGCCAAGGUUCCUCGCUGGGCUUUAUGGCUUCUUCAGCCACCACCGACUCCGAUUCCGAGUUCUGUUGCUACAGCGUUCAUGAAGCACAGACCUCACUCACGGGGAGUAGACGUGAGCUCCACCUCUGGAAGGGAAGGGCAUCCGAGAGUGUGUGGGCAGAGUCUGAAAGCGGCACGGAGAUCCUGACCAUUCCUGGUUCAUCUUCUGCCUAACUCAUGAAAAUGAAAGCCACACGUGCAGCGGGGGACACGUGGCUCCCUCAGAAGUUCCCGCGAAAGCAACGGGCUAGCUGAUUUUUCUCCAAUUCUCCAUCCCAGCGCGGGCUCCUGCAUUAGGAUUUGGCUUGGGGUUUAUUGCCUCUCGGUCACAACAUGGCUGCUGAGCUCCGGACAUCACCUUCUCCCACAACAGGGAAAAAAAUGGAUAGGUGGGGUGGUGACAGCCCUCUCCUAUCCUGAUUCUCCUCUUUUAUCCAGUCACAAACCUAUUUCCCCAAAGCGGCCAGCACACUCAUUGGCCAGAACUGGGUCACUGCCUACCUGCCCCUACAAAGGAGUCUAGGAAACAGGAGAGCUGGCUUUUUUCACCACUUUGGUAUGAGGUGGUAAAUGGGAGAGGAGUUGUUCGUGGCUGUUAGAUCAGCCAAUCAACACUAUCGGUGACGGACGUGACCUCAUGCCCACUGCAAGAAUAAUUUUUAAACAUUGAGAGAGAAAGAGAGAGAGAGAUGGAGAUAUUCUUUCUCUCCCGCAGUGGCAGUGGGAGAGAUACUAUUUUGCAUCAUAAAAUCCAUCUACAGAAUCAGCUU